This 433-nucleotide ribosomal RNA is filed under the name uncultured bacterium. RNAcentral describes it as "partial 16S ribosomal RNA". It matches the Rfam family "Bacterial small subunit ribosomal RNA", at positions 29 to 507 of the family's 1533-position model. The record is from RNAcentral.
AACGAACGCUGGCGGCAUGCCUAACACAUGCAAGUCGAACGAAACCUUCGGGUCUUUUGGCGCACGGCUUCGUAACCCGUGGGAACCUUCCCUUAGGUUCGGAAUAACUCCCCGAAAGGGGUACUAAUACCGGAUAAUGUCUUCGGCCCGAAGAUUUAUUGCCUUUGGUUGUUCCCGCGUUGGAUUAGAUAGUUGUUAGGGUAAAAGCAUACCACGGCGCCGAUGCAUAGAUGGUUUGAGAGGAAGAUCAGCGACACUGGGAGGAAGACACGGCCGAGAAUCCUACGGGAGGCGGCAGUGGGGAAUAUAGGAAAGUGGGGGAAAGGCUGAUCCAGUAAUGACGCGUAAGUGAUGAAGGCAUUGGGGUUGUAAAGUUCAAGUAACCGGGAUGAUAAUGACAGUACCGGGAGAAUAAGCUACGGCUAACUACGUG